GUAGGGGGCAAGCGUUAUCCGGAAUUACUGGGUGUAAAGGGUGCGUAGGUGGUAUGGCAAGUCAGAUGUGAAAUCCACGGGCUCAACUCGUGAACUGCAUUUGAAACUACUCUUCUUGAGUAUCGGAGAGGCAAUCGGAAUUCCUAGUGUAGCGGUGAAAUGCGUAGAUAUUAGGAGGAACACCAGUGGCGAAGGCGGAUUGCUGGACGACAACUGACGGUGAGGCGCGAAAGCGUGGGGAGCAAACAGGAUUAGAUACCCUGGUAGUCCACGCUGUAAACGAUGAAUACUAGGUGUGCGGGGACUGACCCCCUGCGUGCCGCAGCUAACGCAAUAAGUAUUCCACCUGGGGAGUACGAUCGCAAGGUUGAAACUCAAAGGAAUUGACGG
RNAcentral lists this ribosomal RNA (390 nucleotides) under uncultured bacterium. RNAcentral describes it as "bacterial SSU rRNA". It matches the Rfam family "Bacterial small subunit ribosomal RNA", at positions 527 to 916 of the family's 1533-position model. The record is from RNAcentral.